UAGGGAAUCUUCGGCAAUGGACGGAAGUCUGACCGAGCAACGCCGCGUGAGUGAAGAAGGUUUUCGGAUCGUAAAGCUCUGUUGUUAGAGUAGAACGUUGGUAGGAGUGGAAAAUCUACCAAGUGACGGUAACUAACCAGAAAGGGACGGCUAACUACGUGCCAGCAGCCGCGGUAAUACGUAGGUCCCGAGCGUUGUCCGGAUUUAUUGGGCGUAAAGCGAGCGCAGGCGGUUCUUUAAGUCUGAAGUUAAAGGCAGUGGCUUAACCAUUGUACGCUUUGGAAACUGGAGGACUUGAGUGCAGAAGGGGAGAGUGGAAUUCCAUGUGUAGCGGUGAAAUGCGUAGAUAUAUGGAGGAACACCGGUGGCGAAAGCGGCUCUCUGGUCUGUAACUGACGCUGAGGCUCGAAAGCGUGGGGAGCAAACAGG
RNAcentral lists this ribosomal RNA (429 nucleotides) under Bacillota bacterium. RNAcentral's name for it is "Firmicutes bacterium partial 16S ribosomal RNA". It matches the Rfam family "Bacterial small subunit ribosomal RNA", at positions 355 to 776 of the family's 1533-position model. The record is from RNAcentral. Lineage: Bacteria; Bacillati; Bacillota.